This 2819-nucleotide ribosomal RNA is filed under the name Shigella flexneri. RNAcentral's name for it is "partial 23S ribosomal RNA". It matches the Rfam family "Bacterial large subunit ribosomal RNA". The record is from RNAcentral. Lineage: Bacteria; Pseudomonadati; Pseudomonadota; Gammaproteobacteria; Enterobacterales; Enterobacteriaceae.
GUUAUAACCGGCGAUUUCCGAAUGGGGAAACCCAGUGUGAUUCGUCACACUAUCAUUAACUGAAUCCAUAGGUUAAUGAGGCGAACCGGGGGAACUGAAACAUCUAAGUACCCCGAGGAAAAGAAAUCAACCGAGAUUCCCCCAGUAGCGGCGAGCGAACGGGGAGCAGCCCAGAGCCUGAAUCAGUGUGUGUGUUAGUGGAAGCGUCUGGAAAGGCGUGCGAUACAGGGUGACAGCCCCGUACACAAAAAUGCACAUACUGUGAGCUCGAUGAGUAGGGCGGGACACGUGGUAUCCUGUCUGAAUAUGGGGGGACCAUCCUCCAAGGCUAAAUACUCCUGACUGACCGAUAGUGAACCAGUACCGUGAGGGAAAGGCGAAAAGAACCCCGGCGAGGGGAGUGAAAAAGAACCUGAAACCGUGUACGUACAAGCAGUGGGAGCACGCUUAGGCGUGUGACUGCGUACCUUUUGUAUAAUGGGUCAGCGACUUAUAUUCUGUAGCAAGGUUAACCGAAUAGGGGAGCCGAAGGGAAACCGAGUCUUAACUGGGCGUUAAGUUGCAGGGUAUAGACCCGAAACCCGGUGAUCUAGCCAUGGGCAGGUUGAAGGUUGGGUAACACUAACUGGAGGACCGAACCGACUAAUGUUGAAAAAUUAGCGGAUGACUUGUGGCUGGGGGUGAAAGGCCAAUCAAACCGGGAGAUAGCUGGUUCUCCCCGAAAGCUAUUUAGGUAGCGCCUCGUGAAUUCAUCUCCGGGGGUAGAGCACUGUUUCGGCAAGGGGGUCAUCCCGACUUACCAACCCGAUGCAAACUGCGAAUACCGGAGAAUGUUAUUACGGGAGACACACGGCGGGUGCUAACGUCCGUCGUGAAGAGGGAAACAACCCAGACCGCCAGCUAAGGUCCCAAAGUCAUGGUUAAGUGGGAAACGAUGUGGGAAGGCCCAGACAGCCAGGAUGUUGGCUUAGAAGCAGCCAUCAUUUAAAGAAAGCGUAAUAGCUCACUGGUCGAGUCGGCCUGCGCGGAAGAUGUAACGGGGCUAAACCAUGCACCGAAGCUGCGGCAGCGACGCUUAUGCGUUGUUGGGUAGGGGAGCGUUCUGUAAGCCUGUGAAGGUGUGCUGUGAGGUAUGCUGGAGGUAUCAGAAGUGCGAAUGCUGACAUAAGUAACGAUAAAGCGGGUGAAAAGCCCGCUCGCCGGAAGACCAAGGGUUCCUGUCCAACGUUAAUCGGGGCAGGGUGAGUCGACCCCUAAGGCGAGGCCGAAAGGCGUAGUCGAUGGGAAACAGGUUAAUAUUCCUGUACUUGGUGUUACUGCGAAGGGGGGACGGAGAAGGCUAUGUUGGCCGGGCGACGGUUGUCCCGGUUUAAGGGUGUAGGCUGGUUUUCCAGGCAAAUCCGGAAAAUCAAGGCCGAGGCGUGAUGACGAGGCACUACGGUGCUGAAGCAACAAAUGCCCUGCUUCCAGGAAAAGCCUCUAAGCAUCAGGUAACAUCAAAUCGUACCCCAAACCGACACAGGUGGUCAGGUAGAGAAUACCAAGGCGCUUGAGAGAACUCGGGUGAAGGAACUAGGCAAAAUGGUGCCGUAACUUCGGGAGAAGGCACGCUGAUACGUAGGUGAAGCGACUUGCUCGUGGAGCUGAAAUCAGUCGAAGAUACCAGCUGGCUGCAACUGUUUAUUAAAAACACAGCACUGUGCAAACACGAAAGUGGACGUAUACGGUGUGACGCCUGCCCGGUGCCGGAAGGUUAAUUGAUGGGGUUAGCGCAAGCGAAGCUCUUGAUCGAAGCCCCGGUAAACGGCGGCCGUAACUAUAACGGUCCUAAGGUAGCGAAAUUCCUUGUCGGGUAAGUUCCGACCUGCACGAAUGGCGUAAUGAUGGCCAGGCUGUCUCCACCCGAGACUCAGUGAAAUUGAACUCGCUGUGAAGAUGCAGUGUACCCGCGGCAAGACGGAAAGACCCCGUGAACCUUUACUAUAGCUUGACACUGAACAUUGAGCCUUGAUGUGUAGGAUAGGUGGGAGGCUUUGAAGUGUGGACGCCAGUCUGCAUGGAGCCGACCUUGAAAUACCACCCUUUAAUGUUUGAUGUUCUAACGUGGACCCGUGAUCCGGGUUGCGGACAGUGUCUGGUGGGUAGUUUGACUGGGGCGGUCUCCUCCUAAAGAGUAACGGAGGAGCACGAAGGUUGGCUAAUCCUGGUCGGACAUCAGGAGGUUAGUGCAAUGGCAUAAGCCAGCUUGACUGCGAGCGUGACGGCGCGAGCAGGUGCGAAAGCAGGUCAUAGUGAUCCGGUGGUUCUGAAUGGAAGGGCCAUCGCUCAACGGAUAAAAGGUACUCCGGGGAUAACAGGCUGAUACCGCCCAAGAGUUCAUAUCGACGGCGGUGUUUGGCACCUCGAUGUCGGCUCAUCACAUCCUGGGGCUGAAGUAGGUCCCAAGGGUAUGGCUGUUCGCCAUUUAAAGUGGUACGCGAGCUGGGUUUAGAACGUCGUGAGACAGUUCGGUCCCUAUCUGCCGUGGGCGCUGGAGAACUGAGGGGGGCUGCUCCUAGUACGAGAGGACCGGAGUGGACGCAUCACUGGUGUUCGGGUUGUCAUGCCAAUGGCACUGCCCGGUAGCUAAAUGCGGAAGAGAUAAGUGCUGAAAGCAUCUAAGCACGAAACUUGCCCCGAGAUGAGUUCUCCCUGACCCUUUAAGGGUCCUGAAGGAACGUUGAAGACGACGACGUUGAUAGGCCGGGUGUGUAAGCGCAGCGAUGCGUUGAGCUAACCGGUACUAAUGAACCGUGAGGCUUAACCUUACAACGCCGAAG